Molecule: long non-coding RNA, 8257 nt
Organism: Bos taurus (domestic cattle)
Lineage: Eukaryota; Metazoa; Chordata; Mammalia; Artiodactyla; Bovidae
Source: Ensembl
CUCCCAAACCACAGCCUGGUGCAUCUGUCGUUUAAGACACUCCUCAGGGGCCAUUUUACAUUUAGGUCUGGGAUUAUCUGAGAAACCUUGAGCCUCUUGAAGGUAGAAACCAAGUGUAUUGAGCUCUGCACUGUCCCCCACCUCUUCUCCCAGGAAUGAAGCAUGGUCACCACGUCAUGAAUAUUGUUAGACAAAAGCAAUGGCAGCAUCUUUUGGAGAGUAACCAAGCGCAAUUCCUUCUCUUUAUGUGGAUUUCCUCAUUUAAUCUUUGCCACAACCCUUGGAGGUAGCCAAUAUUAUCAUCCCCAUUUUACAGAUGAAGAAGGCGAGGCUCAGGAGGCCUUUUCCUAGAUGAGAGAGGCGGACAAGGCAAGGGAUUACUUCCCUAUCACACAGGCGAGAAAACCAAGGGCCAAAGAGAGUAAGAGGGUGCCCACAUCAUUGGCAAAUUAGCCAUGGGGUGACCUGGGCCCCAGGCAUUGCUCAGCAGCUUCCUUUUUUCUCAGCCUGGGAACGCUGGGUCAGCUUUGGCCCUUCCAUCUCCAGAGGCAGAUGACCACAGUGGUUCUGAUGGGCCCCCAUCCAGGCCAUGGGACCCCCUCUGAGUCUCCCUCUACUUUCCCACAAUGUCCUGUCAAACCGGCCCAGGUAGCUGUCUUCAGCCUCCAGAUGCUCAAGCUCUCCUAUGAGAGGAAGAGUAUCAUGGUUCCACCAUGAUUGUAUAAGUCCCCUCCCGACACCCAGGCAGGCAACUUUUUGUGGCUUUCACUUCAGGAAAGUUGAGGUGGGUGCGUAGAGGUAGAGGGAGGCGGGGAGGCUGGAGGGUGGGAAUUCCACCCACACAGAUGGGCCUCUGAAACCUCCAAGUUCUUCUCACUGCCCCUGCUGUGACUGGUUGUGUUUCUAAAACAUGGCUGUCCUCUUGAUCAUCAAAAUCGUGCAAGUUAUGGAUGGGGUACCCCUGGCAGGGGGUGGGAGGGGAGUUGACAGUUUUAGUAAUAUUAGAUUUCUUAAGCUGAGUGGAAGGGCAGGGGUGUUUGUAACACAGAUCCCCAAACCACUGCCCGUCUCUAUCAGGGCCACAUGGCUUUCCAAAUCCAGAAUUCUGUGGAUUUUAGAAGGUAGUACAGGGUGCGUGCACACUAGGUACGUUACAGGACACGCCCGUGGGAUCACGGUGAUGCCCUGCAGUCAAGCCCACUGAUAUUUCUCGGCAUAUGAAUGAUCACAUGAAGCAAGAUAAGUACUGUGUUAAUAUUAUUAACAGCCUUCCAUCCAAGCGGUCACGUUUGCUGACAAAAUGUAAAAAAAUCUUGCAGCCUUCAGAGCUUGUUUGAUUUUGUCUUGCAAAUGGGAUUGACAGUCUUAGUGGUGGCAAGUGAGAUCUGUGAUCUUCACUGCAGCGUGAAGGAGUUUUAGUUGCGGCAAGCAUUGUCUGGUGCCCUGACCAGGGAUUGAACCCAGGCCCUCUCCAUUCGGAGCACAGAGUCUUAGCCACUGGACCACCAGGGAAGUCCCUUCAAUAUCUCUUCAUGCGUGAAAAUGACAGCCAACUGUAAUGUAGGCACAUGGUGGAAAACAGAGAAAAGCAUAAAGAAACAAACUCACCCUGCUCAUUCACGGCCAUCACCCAUUUGCCAUAACUAAGAGAUCAAUGUGGGUUCGUUGCUAUUAACCACAUUCCAGACUUUGAAUUUCACAAGUUUUUUCACUGAUAUACUUUUUCUGUCCUAGGACCCAAUCCAGGUUAGCACAUUGCCUUUAGGUUUUUUUAAAAAAUCUUAAAAAAAUUUAUAUUAUUUAGUUUUUUUUUUAAUCUGAAAAGUUCAGAGUCCUCUAACAACCAGCUAUAAACCCCGUCUCCCGGAGUGCCCUUCUUCUUUCCUCCUCCCCUGCCUUUUCUCGGAGCCCCCUCUUAUUUCUGGUUCCUGAGGACUUCCCUUCUUGCAUUUGAGUCUAACUAUGGACAUCAUGCUUUUUAGGAAACUGUUAACCAAGACUUGGGCGUGCUGGAGUGCUUCCAGAAAUCAGUUUGAAGCAGCUCUUCAGGGGCAGAGAGAGUGCCAAGCAGAUGUGUCCUGGCCAGGGAAGAGCAGUUCCAGGACCAGGGUGGGAGUGGGGGUGGGGGGCAGCCUGCAGGGGGAGGAAUCCCAGGGUGGCUGAGGGAGGGGUUGUUUUCUGGGAGGUGGGUAAAGGACUUGCAAAUCAGGCCAGGAGUUAGGUCGAGAUCACGUCAAGGAGACUUAAAGGCCCGAAGAAAGGAGUAGCAGCACAUAGACGGCUUUGGCGUGGGGUGUGGAAGGACGUUCCUUGGUUUGCCACUGGUGCAGAACGGCUGGACUGGGGAGGCGUCAGCCUGAACCUGUGUUAAAGUGAUAAGAGGAGUGGCCCUCAAGCGUCCUUCAUUGCACACAGGGAGCUCCAGAGGCCGAGAACCAGGAUGCUUGUUCAAGGUCACGGGUCACAUUCACAUCAGAGUCCGUGACUGUGGCCCCAGCAUUUUUAUGUAAGUAUGGAUGGGUUUCCAACAACAGCUGUUUCGUUCUUACUCUGGGCCAGGCCCACAUAGCUCCUGACUUCAUGAAUCAUAAAGCUUAGAGGGCAUGGACAGUGAUAGAUAAUACCUAACUAGCCAAACAAAAGACUAUGUAACCACUCAUUGUGCCUGGAGCUAUGAAUUAAAGCCAGGUGGUCAGAGAAGGGGCUUAUACAACUCAUAACCCCAAAUUAGGAGGCUAUUUGAAAGUUAUCUAGUGCUCUGGGUCUUGGACUUUGGCCUACAUCAGAAUUACCUGCAGGGGUGGUUAAAACAGAUUCCUGGCUCAGGCUCAGUUUCUACCUUGGUGGGCCGAGCGUGGUGCCUAGGGUCUGCAUCUCCAACAAGCUCUCUCCCAGGUGGUGCCAAUGCUGCUGGUUGAGGGGCCACGCUUGGUCUCCGGAGUAUAAAAAUGCAGUUAGAUCCAUGGCUAGCAGAUGACGUAUCACUUGGCUUUGCCGAUGGUUUCAUUUCAGAGGUGGAGGAAGUGAGCCAUGCGGGGAAGUCCUGAUACCCGUUCAAACCUGAAAGAAGCUGUUGAGAAUGUGGAUAAGUGAGAAUUCAGGAGAGGAAGAGCCACGUGAUCCCCCAGCUGCAGGUCCUGGGGAACUCCCUUCUGUUUUCAGAUGACUGGUGCUAGGCUGUCUCCAAGAGUCCCUGGGGCCCACUGCUCCGCACACCACUCCCAUCACUCAGCAUGAAGAGUCAAGGGUCCUGGGCUUGCGGGUUGCUGUCUGCUCUGAGGAGGGCCCCCUCUCACAGUGAACCUGGUUUCUUCCCCUCUACCCCCACUGCCCUGGAGAUAUAUCUAUUGGGCUGCUGUCUGCAGGCCUCUGAGCCUUGUAGUUACCCAGCCUUGAGACCAAAGACGGGCCAGGAAACAGCAACAGAGACAUCAAUGGUUUAUUAGACAGGAGAUCUUAAGCAGGAGGUCCUGGAGUGACUGGCUAUCCUAGACAGAAUGUGGCAGAAGGGGAGGAGGAGGCUACUAUUUAUAGAAUAACUAACAUCACCGUGGGUCUUAUCAGUUACCAGGGAAACCAGCAGCUAGGGCGUGUCCCUCGCCACCCUUCAGGUUAAGGACCACGACUAUCUGAAUCACUUUGAGGGCAGGUGUUUCCCUUUAAUAAACUAGCAGGUGGAGCCAUUCUGACCUCAGGAUUAGAACAGUCAAUCCCUAACCGGGGGCCCCAGGGCAAAGGUAUUCCUGUGAGUUGGGGGUAGGUGAAGCAGAGAGUCCUCGAACGGGGGGUGUACAAAGCAAGUGAACUUGUAGAGUAGCCUGAUCAGACACCAUCCCUACCAUCCACGCCUCCUACUCCAGGAAGGAGAUUUUCUUAAACCUCUUGGAUUCUGCAGUGGGGUGAGUGGUUGACUCAGCAAAUCCCACCCUCGUCCCUCUGAUGUCAAGCAUAGAAUAUUGGUGGGGAAAUGCUGUUCCUUUCGUCCAGGACUUGUGACCUGACUUCUGUUGUGCUGGGUCUUCGCUGCCAUGUGCCGGCUCUCUAGUUGCAGUGAGCCGGGGCUACUCUCCAGCUGCGGUGCUCGGACUUCUCACUGUGGUGGCUUCUCUUGUGGAGGGGCUCUAGAGUGCUGGCCCAGCAGCUGUGGCACUCAGGCUUUGGUUGCCCGCGGCAUGUGAGACCUUCCUGGACCAGGGAUCAAACCUGCGUCCCCUGCAUUGGCAGGCGGAUUCUAAUCCCCUGGACCACCAGGGAAGUCCACACAGGCCUUGCAGUGGCACUUCAAGUGGCAGCAAGAGCCCUGGGCUGGGAGGCUGAGGCUUGGUUCCUGCCCAGCCCUGGGCCUCAUUUUCCCCUCCUGUAAAAUGAGAGGGUUAGACCUGAUGAUCCCCAAGUUCCCUUUUGAUGCUGACCUUGUAAGAUAUUUGUCCACAUGACAUGACUCUAAUGGCGGAAUCUCAGGCACCAUUACUGGGGUGAGCAGGAGGUAUUUUGGAGAAGGCCCUGCCUAGCGCGUUCUGCUGCCUUCCCCACAGGACAAGUUGAGCUGGCCCUGCAGUCUUUUUGAAUAUCUGCCUGUGCAUAUGGCUUUGGUAGAGAGGAAGGGAGCAGGAGCUAGAAUUACCCUGGCUGGGUUUCCCAGCCUCCUCCUUGGUCAGCAGAGAGCAUCUCUCAGACAAUCUCUCUUCUCUCCGCCUUUGACCCCCUUCCCCAGCUACCAGCAGAAGUCCCAUUUCCUGACCUGCUUCCUGCAUGAGCUGUCACUCAUUUCUGUCCCAUGUGGUUCCAGCGUUGGGCAGGAAAUACGGGACUGUGGGGGCUUCAGAUUCAGACGACAGCAGGGAGGGUAAGGGGAUGGCACCAAGGUCCAGUUUCUCAUGGAAGAGGGGGAGGGUGGAGCCUCUAAAAAGCAAAUCAGACUUUAACAUGGAAGAGAAACUCUGAUGAGCCUCAGCCAGACCACUUUAUGAUGCUCAAAGCAUAUGUCUUCUUCCCACCUCAGGCUAGAAUACAAGAGGUUUCUUUCUGCCAUCUCAGUCUUGGGAGGUACCAGGCUCCUGAGAAGCUGUGUGAAGAAAAUCCCUCACUGCCACAUUGGCCAAAUGGAAUGGGGAAAUGGCACAGGAAGACACUGGCAUGUGCAAAGUCCCUGGGGUAGAAGGGAACACGAAAGAGUCAAGAACCUGAAAGGAGGUCGAUGUAGCAGGGAGGAGAGGGAGAGAGGGGAGGCCUGGGUCCACGCUGUGAAGGUGCAGAGGGGGCCUGGCCUUUACUUUGAUGAGCAGGAGAGAUGGCCAGGGGCAAGGGCCAGAGUGGAACUUGGCAGAGGGACACUACUUAGAGUUUAGGAAGACUUGAGGGGACAGCACCAUCUUCUGAGCCAGGUUCUUUCCUCCUCUCUCCCCUCCAAAUGCUCUCUUGGGCCUGUUUCUCUUCUCUUGGGGUCCAAAGCAAGGUCUGACCCAGGAAGCUGACCAGGAGCGCUCAUGCAGGCUGGCAGGCAGGGCUCCUGGCAGAGGAGUCAAUGUGGUCUCACCAGUUCCCAAGUCCUGAGUCCAACAUGGAAAUUACAGGCCUUGGGAUGUAAGCCUCUGUGGGUAGUGACACCAGCUGGGAGACUCACUGUACCCGAGACAGCACCCCCGAGGGGGUUGGGAAGCCCAGGCCCCCACAUUGAUGCCCCAAGGACAGUAUGAGGAUAACCAGGCAGCUCCUUCCCCAAAACAGAAACUUUCACCAUCACAAGUGCCAGAGAGCUUGCUUGGAGCUCUGCCUCAUGUGGACCACAGCCCAGCCAGAAGCCCACAAGGCCCCGGGGCUCAUUUCUACUCCAGGAAAGUGCAGCCCCUCAGCUUCUUUCACCAUCCCGGGAGAGCAUCUCUGCACAAGAGAUGCAGUUAGCAUCUCAUCACUGUGGUUAGCAGGACAUGUGGAGUCCCAGAGCUUGCCAGAACAGCACCAACCUGCUGGACACCUCUCCUAACUCCUGCCCCUUCCCUCCAAGCCCAGAGACUCAGACCUAGGCUUACAUCAAAAGACUGGGAAGUCCCCCAGCACAGCUGGGGGCAUCUGCUGCUUCCUCCAGGGAGGAAACAAGGGCUGCCCAAGGCCAGGUCCUGUGGACGCACAUCCUGCCACCUGGGCUGCUGACCCAGGAGAGGUUAGGGCCCUUGUGUGGGACCAGCCUUGGGCAAUGGGGAAUGCAGGGGGAAGGCUUGGUCUUCAAAUCUACAUCCAAAUACCAGUAUCUUGAAAUAGUAGUUUGGAGUUCCUCUGCCUCGGUUCCCUCAUCUGUUAAAUGGGAUGAUGAUAAUACUUUCCACACAGUGGUCUGGUAAGGACUGAGUUCGUUUGGAGGGACUAACAUGGUGGCCAAGAGCAGGGGUUCUGGAGUGCCCCUGCUUGGGUCCAAACCCCAGCUUCUUCGCUGCUAGCUGUGUAAUCUCGACAUGUUACCUCCCUGUUUCCUCACUUGUAAAAAUGGAGAUUAAAAGGCUGCCAUGAGGAUUAAAGGGGCAAGCAUAAGUACUUAGAGUAGGUACCAGUGCUCACAAAUGUCAGGUAUUGGUUUUACUCCAUGGAAACGGUACUUGGCACACAAGCUAAAUGGUACUUGCCCAGUAAAUGUAGGCUCCACCCUCUGGUCCCCUUGAUUGUUACGUCUUGUGUUUCCUACCCCCAAAUUCAAACACACAAGAUUCCCUUUGAUCUCCCAUCUGUAAAAUGUUAUUACCUUGUUCAUACUCAAGUGUAAAUGACUGGUAGUCAUUUAAUUUAUACCAGAGGAGCAGUCAAAAAUUCAGCCAAAAGAACGAUGUGCUGAUGGUGGAUUCUCAGGCCACCAGCCAGGCUGAGGGUAGGGGGCACUUGGGAAGGUAGCUCUCCCAGAGUCCUUCAGUGAUAACCUUAUCAGCCGGCCAGGUACCUCGAGGGUAGAAAGGAUAUCAGGCCCAAGACCCAGCUCUGCUUCUAAGUGCUGUGUGACUUUCAGCAACUCACUGACCUCUCUGAAUUUCAGCUUCCUCAUCUGCUUAACGGGAUUACUUUUCUGCCUUUCUCAAGGGGCUGUUUGAAAUUAAAUGCACCUGAAAAUGGUCUGCAUUUGUCUCUCCAGAUUGUGGUUAUCUGUCCAUGCGUCCGUCCACUCUCCCCAGCCUGGGCAGGGAGGAGGUGUUCUGUGAACACGAGUGGUACUGAAGUGCACAUCCUGAUCUUGGGACAUAACCCCAUCCAUGCAUCCAGUCACAGCCCACAUGCACUUUCUCUUCCAUCUCCCAUCAUGCCCUGCAGUGACCCGGCGAAGCUGGGAAUACCCCAUUUAGCAGAGGAGGAAACUGAGGCCUGGGGAGGACAGGGCAUUUGCCUGAGGCCACAUAGCUAGAAGUGGUGGGCCUGGGAAUCAGCCACAAGCACUUGACUGCCAAAUCUCUGCCAUCACAUGAUAUCUGGUCAUCAGAGCUGGUGCUGGAAGGGCAGCAGCUUCCCUUCUCCCUUCUCACAGGGCUGUGGGAUGGGCAGAAAGAUGCCUCGCUCACUUCAGGCACAGGCUGCAUCAGCCUUAACUGUAGGAGGUCACGUUUUAAAGAUCUCUACGUGGAGGGAUCAUCACCCUACAGACAGCAAACUUCAGGCUCAGAGAAGUAAAGGCAUUUGGCCAGGAAGUUGAGGGCAGGACUUGAACCCAAGGAUGUCAGACCCCGAUGGUUGUGCUCUGACCACUACUUGGCAGUGCCCUGACGCCUACACACCUGGCUUGAGAGGCAGGAGGACAGAUCUGGGAGUACGUGCUACUUCACUGUGGAGAUGCCAGGGUGAGGUGGGCAGAUGGUCUUCCUAGCAGGCAGACCUGUCCCGGGAAUGUACCCUCUGCAGGAGGACAGGACCGCCUGUCCCCAGAGGAAUGCAAAACGCCAGGGAGGUUGUAGUCAGUCCUGAAAGGGCAGUGACCAGUGGCCAUUCAGGACUGCUGCUGACCCUUCCGGGGGACGCCUUCGCACCCUCUUACCUCUCCUCCAGUCCCCUUUGUCCCACUCCUCCCUCGUCUCUGCCUGUGACCCUUGUGUGAGUUGGGCAAGUUCCUUGACCUCCCUCGUAAAUUCGUAGGUAGUGUGUUUAAGCACCGUCCAAAGGAUCAAGGGCUCAGUAAGACCAGUUUCGAUUCUCCCCUCCCUUCAUCCCGGAGAGCAACGAGGAACAGGAGGCUGGACCCCUGGGGGCUAAGUCUCCUCCUCCUACCCAGCGGGCAUCCCUUCCCACC